Molecule: non-coding RNA, 308 nt
Organism: Salmonella enterica subsp. enterica serovar Enteritidis
Lineage: Bacteria; Pseudomonadati; Pseudomonadota; Gammaproteobacteria; Enterobacterales; Enterobacteriaceae
Source: Rfam
UAUGGCUGGUGCGGGGGUUCGUGCAAAUAACCUGCAGAAUUUCCUCGAUGCCGGAGUACGGGAAGUACACAGUUCCGCCGGAGUCUUACUGCCUUCGCCGAUGCGCUAUCGCAAUCAGGGGUUAUCGAUGUCUGCCGAUAUACAGGCGGACGAGUAUUCUCGCUAUAGGGUAGAGGGUGCGGCGGUCGCUGAAAUGAAAGGAAUCAUUGUUCGCCAUCAGGCCAAAUGAUUUUUACCGUUGCAUCAUGUCGCCCAAUAUGAUGCUUGCUCGUACCAGGCCCCUGCCAAUUCAACAGGGGCCUUUUUUU